This 414-nucleotide ribosomal RNA is filed under the name uncultured microorganism. Its description in RNAcentral is "bacterial SSU rRNA". It matches the Rfam family "Archaeal small subunit ribosomal RNA", at positions 459 to 872 of the family's 1478-position model. The record is from RNAcentral.
CAGCAGCCGCGGUAAUACCGGCGGCCCGAGUGGCGGUCACUAUUAUUGGGCUUAAAGCGUCCGUAGCCGGGUUGGGAAGUCCUCCGGGAAAUCUGGCCGCUUAACGGUCAGAAUGCCGGAGGAUACUCCCAGCCUAGGGGGCGGGAGAGGCCGAGGGGAUUCCCGGAGGAGGGGGGAAAUCCUAUAAUCCCGGGAGGACCGCCUGUGGCGAAGGCGCUCGGCUGGAACGCGUCCGACGGUGAGGGACGAAGGCCAGGGGAGCAAACCGGAUUAGAUACCCGGGUAGUCCUGGCUGUAAACGAUGCGGGCUAGCUGUUGGGUGGGCUUAGAGCCCACCCAGUGGCGCAGGGAAGCCGUUAAGCCCGCCGCCUGGGGAGUACGGCCGCAAGGCUGAAACUUAAAGGAAUUGGCGGG